UUUUUAAAAAUGUUUUCAUUUUUGAUGAGACGCUGAAUAAAAGAAGUUUAAUCGCCGGCAAACGAAAACCCGCGACUUCCCGUAAAUCCCGGACUCGGCCCGUGUAGUCAAAAGUAUACAAAGAAAGUACCCAGGGAGUAAACUCAUUUCCCGAACGAAUUUUUAAAUUAUUUUUUCACCACUAAAACGCAUGAGAUUUGUAGUUUUCAGAAAUGUUUUCAUUUUUGAUGAGACGCUUAAUAAAAGUGGUUUAAUCGCCGGUAAACGAAAACCCGCGAUUUCCCGUAAAUCCCGGGUUUGGCCCGUAUAGUCAAAUGUAUACAAAGAAAGUACCCUGUGAGUAAACUCAUUUCCAAAACGAUUUUUUAAAGUAUCUUUUUACCACUAAAACGCAUGAGACUUGUAGUUUUCAAAAAUGUUUUCAUUUUUGAUGAGACGCUGAAUAAAAGAAGUUUAAUCGCCGACAAACGAAAACCCGCCAUUUCCCGUAAACCCCGGACUCGGCCCGUAUAGUCAAAAGUAUACAAAAAAGCACCCAGGGAGUAAACUCAUUUCCCGAACGAUUUUUUAUAUUAUUUUUUCACCACUAAAACGCAUGAGACUUGUAGUUUUCAAAAAUGUUUUCAUUUUUGAUGAGACGCUUAAUGAAAGAGGUUUAAUCGACGGCAAACAAAAACCCGCGAUUUCACGUAAAUCCAGGGUUUGGCCCGCAUAGUCGAAUGUAUACAAAGAAAGUACCCAGGGAGUAAACUAAUUUCCCGAACGAUUUUUUAAAUUAUUUUUUCACCACUAAAACGCAUGAGACUUGUAGUUUUCAAAAAUGUUUUCAUUUUUGAUGGGACGCUAAAUAAAAGAGGUUUAAUCGACGGCAAACAAAAACCCGCGAUUUCACGUAAAUCCAGGGUUUGGCCCGCAUAGUCGAAUGUAUACAAAGAAAGUACCCAGGGAGUAAACUAAUUUCCCGAACGAUUUUUUAAAUUUUUUUUUCACCACUAAAACGCAUGAGACUUGUAGUUUUCAAAAAUGUUUUCAUUUUUGAUGGGACGCUAAAUAAAAGAGGUUUAAUCGACGGCAAACAAAAACCCGCGAUUUCACGUAAAUCCAGGGUUUGGCCCGCAUAGUCGAAUGUAUACAAAGAAAGUACCCAGGGAGUAAACUAAUUUCCCGAACGAUUUUUUAAAUUUUUUUUUCACCACUAAAACGCAUGAGACUUGUAGUUUUCAAAAAUGUUUUCAUUUUUGAUGGGACGCUAAAUAAAAGAAGUUUAAUCGCCGGCAAACGAAAACCCGCGAUUUCCCGUAAAUCCCGGACUCGGCCCGUAUAGUCAAAAGUAUACAAAGAAAGUACCCAGGGAGUAAACUCAUUUCCCGAACGAUUUUUUAUAUUAUUUUUUCACCACUAAAACGCAUGAGACUUGUAGUUUUCAAAAAUGUUUUCAUUUUUGAUGAGACGCUUAAUGAAAGAGGUUUAAUCGACGGCAAACAAAAACCCGCGAUUUCACGUAAAUCCAGGGUUUGGCCCGCAUAGUCGAAUGUAUACAAAGAAAGUACCCAGGGAGUAAACUAAUUUCCCGAACGAUUUUUUAAAUUAUUUUUUCACCACUAAAACGCAUGAGACUUGUAGUUUUCAAAAAUGUUUUCAUUUUUGAUGGGACGCUAAAUAAAAGAGGUUUAAUCGACGGCAAACAAAAACCCGCGAUUUCACGUAAAUCCAGGGUUUGGCCCGCAUAGUCGAAUGUAUACAAAGAAAGUACCCAGGGAGUAAACUAAUUUCCCGAACGAUUUUUUAAAUUUUUUUUUCACCACUAAAACGCAUGAGACUUGUAGUUUUCAAAAAUGUUUUCAUUUUUGAUGGGACGCUAAAUAAAAGAAGUUUAAUCGCCGGCAAACGAAAACCCGCGAUUUCCCGUAAAUCCCGGACUCGGCCCGUAUAGUCAAAAGUAUACAAAGAAAGUACCCAGGGAGUAAACUAAUUUCCCGAACGAUUAUUUAAAUUAUUUUUUCACCACUAAAACGCAUGAGACUUGUAGUUUUCAAAAAUGUUUUCAUUUUUGAUGGGACGCUAAAUAAAAGAGGUUUAAUCGACGGCAAACAAAAACCCGCGAUUUCACGUAAAUCCAGGGUUUGGCCCGCAUAGUCGAAUGUAUACAAAGAAAGUACCCAGGGAGUAAACUAAUUUCCCGAACGAUUUUUUAAAUUUUUUUUUCACCACUAAAACGCAUGAGACUUGUAGUUUUCAAAAAUGUUUUCAUUUUUGAUGGGACGCUAAAUAAAAGAAGUUUAAUCGCCGGCAAACGAAAACCCGCGAUUUCCCGUAAAUCCCGGACUCGGCCCGUAUAGUCAAAAGUAUACAAAGAAAGUACCCAGGGAGUAAACUCAUUUUCCGAACGAUUUUUUAAAUUAUUUUUUCACCACUGAAAGGCAUGAGACUUGUAGUUUUCAAAAAUGGUUUCAUUUUUGAUGAGACGCUUAAUAAAAGAGGUUUAAUCGCCGGCAAACGAAAACCCGCGAUUUCCCGUUAAUCCCGAGCUUGGCCCGUAUAGUCGAAUGUAUAAAAAGAAAGUACCCAGGAAGUAAACUCAUUUCCCGAAUGAUUUUUUAAAUUUUUUUUUCACCACUAAAACGCAUGAGACUUGUAGUUUUCAAAAAUGUUUUCAUUUUUGAUGACACGCUUAAUGAAAGAGGUUUAAUCGCCGGCAAACGAAAACCCGCGAUUUCCCUUAAAUCCCGGGCUUGGCCCGUAGAGUCGAAUGUAUACAAAGAAAGUACCCUGUGAGUAAACUCAUUUCCAGAACGAUUUUUUAAAUUAUUUUUUCACCACUGAAAGGCAUGAGACUUGUAGUUUUCAAAAAUGGUUUCAUUUUUGAUGAGACGCUUAAUAAAAGAGGUUUAAUCGCCGGCAAACGAAAACCCGCGAUUUCCCGUUAAUCCCGAGCUUGGCCCGUAUAGUCGAAUGUAUAAAAAGAAAGUACCCAGGAAGUAAACUCAUUUCCCGAAUGAUUUUUUAAAUUUUUUUUUCACCACUAAAACGCAUGAGACUUGUAGUUUUCAAAAAUGUUUUCAUUUUUGAUGACACGCUUAAUGAAAGAGGUUUAAUCGCCGGCAAACGAAAACCCGCGAUUUCCCUUAAAUCCCGGGCUUGGCCCGUAGAGUCGAAUGUAUACAAAGAAAGUACCCUGUGAGUAAACUCAUUUCCAGAACGAUUUUUUAAAUUAUUUUUUCACCACUAAAACGCAUAAGACUUGUAGGUUUCAAAAAAGUUUUCAUUUUUGAUCAGACGCUGAAUAAAAGAAGUUUAAUCGCCGGCAAACGAAAACCCGCGAUUUCCCGUCAAUCCCGAGCUUGGCCCGUAUAGUCGAAUGUAUAAAAAGAAAGUACCCAGGAAGUAAACUCAUUUCCCGAAUGAUUUUUUAAAUUUUUUUUUCACCACUAAAACGCAUGAGACUUGUAGUUUUCAAAAAUGUUUUCAUUUUUGAUGACACGCUUAAUGAAAGAGGUUUAAUCGCCGGCAAACGAAAACCCGCGAUUUCCCUUAAAUCCCGGGCUUGGCCCGUAGAGUCGAAUGUAUACAAAGAAAGUACCCUGUGAGUAAACUCAUUUCCAGAACGAUUUUUUAAAUUAUUUUUUCACCACUAAAACGCAUAAGACUUGUAGGUUUCAAAAAAGUUUUCAUUUUUGAUCAGACGCUGAAUAAAAGAAGUUUAAUCGCCGGCAAACGAAAACUCGUGAUUUCCCGUAAAUCCCGGGCUUGGCCGGUAUAGUCAAAAGUAUACAAAGAAAGUACCCAGGGAGUAAACUCAUUUCCUGAACGAUUUUUUAAAUUAUUUUUUUACCACUAAAACGCAUGAGACUUGUAGUUUUCAAAAAUGUUUUCAUUUUUGAUGAGACGCUGAAUAAAAGAAGUUUAAUCGCCGGCAAACGAAAACCCGCCAUUUCCCGUAAACCCCGGACUCGGCACGUAUAGUCAAAAGUAUACAAAGAAAGUACCCAAGGAGUAAACUCAUUUCCCGAACGAUUUUUUAUAUUAUUUUUUCAGCACUAAAACGCAUAAGACUUUUAGUUUUCAAAAAUGUUUUUUAUUUUUGAUGGGACGCUGAAUAAAAGAAGUUUAAUCGCCGGCAAACGAAAACCCUCGAUUUCCCGUAAAUCCCGUGCUUGGCCUGCAUAGUCGAAUGUAUACAAAGAAAGUACCCAGGGAGUAAACUCAUUUCCUGAACGAUUUUUUAAAUUUUUUUUUCACCACUAAAACGCAUGAGACUUGUAGUUUUUGAAAAUGUUUUCAUUUUUGAUGAGACGCUGAAUAAAAGAAGUUUUAUCGCUGGCAAACGAAAACCCGCGACUUCCGGUAAAUCCCGGACUCGGCCCGUAUAGUCAAAAGUAUACAAAGAAAGUACCCAGGGAGUAAACUCAUUUCCCGAACAAUUUUUUAAAUUAUUUUUUCACCACUAAAACGCAUGAGACCUGUAGUUUUCAAAAAUGUUUUCAUUUUUGAUGGGACGCUGAAUAAAAGAAGUUUAAUCGCCGGCAAACGAAAACCCGCGAUUUCCCGUAAAUCCCGGACUCGGCCCGUAUAGUGAAAAGUAUACAAAGAAAGUACCCUGUGAGUAAACUCAUUUCCAAAACGAUUUUUUAAAGUAUCUUUUCACCACUAAAACGCAUGAGACUUGUAGUUUUCAAAAAUGUUUUCAUUUUUGAUGAGACGCUGAAUAAAAGAAGUUUAAUCGCCGGCAAACGAAAACCCGCCAUUUCCCGUAAACCCCAGACUCCGCCCGUAUAGUCAAAAGUAUACAAAGAAAGUACCCAGGGAGUAAACUCAUUUCCCGAACGAUUUUUUAUAUUAUUUUUUCACCACUAAAACGCAUGAGACUUUUAGUUUUCAAAAAAGUUUUCAUUUUUGAUGGGACGCUGAAUAAAAGAAGUUUAAUCGCCGGCAAACGAAAACCCUCGAUUUCCCGUAAAUCCCGGGCUUGGCCCGCAUAGUCAAAUGUAUACAAAGAAAGGACCCAGGGAGUAAACUAAUUUCCCGAACGAUUUUUUAUAUUUUUUUUCACCACUAAAACGCAUGAGACUUGUAGUUUUUAAAAAUGUUUUCAUUUUUGAUGAGACGCUGAAUAAAAGAAGUUUAAUCGCCGGCAAACGAAAACCCGCGACUUCCCGUAAAUCCCGGACUCGGCCCGUGUAGUCAAAAGUAUACAAAGAAAGUACCCAGGGAGUAAACUCAUUUCCCGAACGAAUUUUUAAAUUAUUUUUUCACCACUAAAACGCAUGAGACUUGUAGUUUUCAAAAAUGUUUUCAUUUUUGAUGAGACGCUUAAUGAAAGAGGUUUAAUCGACGGCAAACAAAAACCCGCGAUUUCACGUAAAUCCAGGGUUUGGCCCGCAUAGUCGAAUGUAUACAAAGAAAGUACCCAGGGAGUAAACUAAUUUCCCGAACGAUUUUUUAAAUUAAUUUAUCACCACUAAAACGCAUGAGACUUGUAGUUUUCAAAAAUGUUUUCAUUUUUGAUGGGACGCUAAAUAAAAGAAGUUUAAUCGCCGGCAAACGAAAACCCGCGAUUUCCCGUAAAUCCCGGACUCGGCCCGUAUAGUCAAAAGUAUACAAAGAAAGUACCCAGGGAGUAAACUCAUUUCCCGAACGAUUUUUUAAAUUAUUUUUUCACCACUGAAAGGCAUGAGACUUGUAGUUUUCAAAAAUGGUUUCAUUUUUGAUGAGACGCUUAAUAAAAGAGGUUUAAUCGCCGGCAAACGAAAACCCGCGAUUUCCCGUCAAUCCCGAGCUUGGCCCGUAUAGUCGAAUGUAUAAAAAGAAAGUACCCAGGAAGUAAACUCAUUUCCCGAAUGAUUUUUUAAAUUUUUUUUUCACCACUAAAACGCAUGAGACUUGUAGUUUUCAAAAAUGUUUUCAUUUUUGAUGACACGCUUAAUGAAAGAGGUUUAAUCGCCGGCAAACGAAAACCCGCGAUUUCCCUUAAAUCCCGGGCUUGGCCCGUAGAGUCGAAUGUAUACAAAGAAAGUACCCUGUGAGUAAACUCAUUUCCAGAACGAUUUUUUAAAUUAUUUUUUCACCACUAAAAC
This is a long non-coding RNA of Hydractinia symbiolongicarpus, 6074 nucleotides long. RefSeq lists it as uncharacterized. The transcript has 2 exons. Lineage: Eukaryota; Metazoa; Cnidaria; Hydrozoa; Anthoathecata; Hydractiniidae. The record is from RefSeq and is a predicted model, not a curated record.